AGCUUGUUCAAUCUGGGAAGAGAUUUCGUCAUGCGCCAACCUUCAAGGUCUGAUGAAACUUUCAAGAUGAGCAAAGCG
Schistosoma rodhaini is the source of this 78-nucleotide non-coding RNA. NCBI's taxonomy places the organism in Eukaryota, Metazoa, Platyhelminthes, Trematoda, Strigeidida, Schistosomatidae. The record is from Rfam.